RNAcentral lists this ribosomal RNA (253 nucleotides) under uncultured bacterium. RNAcentral describes it as "partial 16S ribosomal RNA". It matches the Rfam family "Bacterial small subunit ribosomal RNA", at positions 524 to 776 of the family's 1533-position model. The record is from RNAcentral.
UACGUAGGGUGCGAGCGUUGUCCGGAUUCAUUGGGCGUAAAGAGCUCGUAGGCGGCCUGUCGCGUCGGCUGUGAAACCCCGAGGCUCAACCUCGGGCCUGCAGUCGAUACGGGCAGACUAGAGUGUGGUAGGGGAGACUGGAAUUCCUGGUGUAGCGGUGAAAUGCGCAGAUAUCAGGAGGAACACCGGUGGCGAAGGCGGUUCUCUGGGCAGUAACUGACGCUGAGGAGCGAAAGCGUGGGGAGCGAACAGG